GAUGAACGCUGGCGGCGUGCUUAACACAUGCAAGUCGAACGGAAAGGCUCCUGCUUGCAGGGGUACUCGAGUGGCGAACGGGUGAGUAACACGUGGGUGAUCUGCCCUGCACUUCGGGAUAAGCCUGGGAAACUGGGUCUAAUACCGGAUAGGACGAUGGUUUGGAUGCCAUUGUGGAAAGUUUUUCGGUGUGGGAUGAGCUCGCGGCCUAUCAGCUUGUUGGUGGGGUAAUGGCCUACCAAGGCGUCGACGGGUAGCCGGCCUGAGAGGGUGUACGGCCACAUUGGGACUGAGAUACGGACCAGACUCCUACGGGAGGCAGCAGUGGGGAAUAUUGCACAAUGGGCGCAAGCCUGAUGCAGCGACGCCGCGUGGGGGAUGACGGCCUUCGGGUUGUAAACUCCUUUCGCUAGGGACGAAGCGCAAGUGACGGUACCUGGAGAAGAAGCACCGGCUAACUACGUG
This 465-nucleotide ribosomal RNA is filed under the name uncultured bacterium. RNAcentral describes it as "partial 16S ribosomal RNA". It matches the Rfam family "Bacterial small subunit ribosomal RNA", at positions 28 to 507 of the family's 1533-position model. The record is from RNAcentral.